GAGAAUAUGAACCUUCUGAAAGACCAGACCCUGAUACAGAUUAUGCCAGAGCUCAGGAGGCCCGUCGUUUCAUGAUCUAUGUUCAUGCAAAAAUGAUGAUUGGUAGGUGAUGAAUACCUUUUUUAAAUUUAAUUCACACACCUCACUUGCUUCUGUUAUUGAAUAUUAGCUUUGAAUUUGGCGGCCCGGGGGGAUCUGGUAGGUCCUUGAACCACUAGUGGAGCAGAGACAUUGAAGUUGACAUUUUCUUUUUUUGAAAUUAUACAAGCCUUUGCAGAAUAUAUCCACCAUAUGGUUGGGUCAUGAGGAAAAUUUCCUUUGAAGUAAGGUGGUAUAAGGAGGAGCAAUGGUCAUGGUGCUGUAAAUAAUGAAAAUUAACAGGCUUUUUCAUUCGAAUUGUUUUGAACACUGAGCUCCCCUUCAGUUCUUUUUUAUGUUUCUCUUUAGUACCUACAUCUCAUAUAACUUUGGUUGGCUUUCUUCAGUUGAUGAUGAAUACAUAAUAAUUGGGUCUGCCAACAUCAACCAGCGAUCCAUGGAUGGUGCUAGAGACUCUGAAAUAGCCAUGGGAGCCUAUCAACCAUAUCAUUUAUCAUUAAGGGAACCAGCACGAGGUCAGGUCCAUGGUUUCCGUUUGUCACUGUGG
Molecule: long non-coding RNA, 646 nt
Filed under: Gossypium raimondii (Peruvian cotton)
Lineage: Eukaryota; Viridiplantae; Streptophyta; Magnoliopsida; Malvales; Malvaceae
Description: long non-coding RNA (GRAI_LNC008918)
Source: RNAcentral